Molecule: long non-coding RNA, 1278 nt
Filed under: Hordeum vulgare
Lineage: Eukaryota; Viridiplantae; Streptophyta; Magnoliopsida; Poales; Poaceae
Description: long non-coding RNA (HVUL_LNC020616)
Source: RNAcentral
UUGUCCAGCCUGGAAAUAGGCCCAACUGCCGUGUUUCUGCAAAUCAAACGACGUGCUUAACACGUAGACCAAUUUUCGUAGACAUAUAAAUCCGCCGUCGCACGCACGCACGCAUCUCUUCCAUCUCUUUAUUCUACCGGCGGCGGCGACGGCGACAUCAACGCGAUAAUGGACGACAACUGCUGCGCCACGUACGACCAGGGCAACGACCGCUGCGACCCGCACGACCAUUGCCACCACCACCACAGCCCGGCGGCGAGCGGCGACGACGCAGACCGCACAUGGUGGCCGGGCCUGAAGGAUAACGAUCUGGAGUCGGCGAGGAUGCCGAUCUGGCCAUCCUCGGCAAGGGAGAGCAAGAGGCGGCCACCGGCGUCGGCAGCGGCGCCGCUCAUCAAGCCCGAGGCCGAGGCCGACGAUAGUUCCAAGGUACGCACGCACUCACGCUCGUGAUGUUCUAGGGCAGCCGGUUACUAGUAGUGCAAAAUUAUGAUCGUGCUCACGUAGGUAAGUUACGACUACGUACGCACGGAUUUCAUGGUGAACUCACAAGGAGCUAUGUAUGAAGAAUUGUAGUCUAAUUUGCUUGUUGUUGGGGUGCAGAGCCAUAUGGAGGGUGCGGUGUGCUGCUUCGUGGUGGUGGUGGUGCUCAUACUGGUACUCAUCUUUUCGUGAUCGAUCGAAAUCAUCCAGCUGCAGGGACAGUGGUGCAAUCUGCAUGCAUGUAUAAUAACUUGCUAGGCAUUAUUCGGAACAUUAUACUUCUUCCGUUCCUAAAUAUUUAGUCAUUUUAGAAAUUUCAUUAUGAACUACAUGAUGUGUACGUGUGAGCAGGGAAGGAGCACCCAACCAUUGAAUACAUCGUCAUUAGAGCACAUCAAGCAAGCUGUGUUUCUCUGCAGGAAGAAGAAAGGCAAACCGUUUUGUCUUGUAAAUAUCUAGGCUUUGGGUUUUGGGCUUUACGUUCCUUAGUAUUACUGGAUGGUUAAGUGAUGGUGAACCAUAUGGGGGUUGUGUAGGUAGCACACAGGUUAGGUUUUUCUCAAAAAUAAGAUGCAGGUUGCCUAAAAAAAAGGUAGCAUGCAAGUUAAAUCAUUAAUACUAGCAGGAAUUGGCUUUUAUACUGAAAAGCAUGAAUUAUCCAGAAAACAAUAUUCCAAGGGAAAAUUAUCAUUUUUAAAUAUUGAUGUACAUUUUAAUUAUUGAUGUUCAUUUUUAAAUAUCAUAUAUUGGUCAUAAUUUGUUAUUCAGAGAUCAUAAAUUUUAUAUUAUACAACU